Molecule: long non-coding RNA, 464 nt
Organism: Gavialis gangeticus (Gharial)
Lineage: Eukaryota; Metazoa; Chordata; Crocodylia; Gavialidae
Exons: 4
Source: RefSeq, a predicted model, not a curated record
UCACAAAUCGCUUGUGCUGUUGACCAAAAACUGCUUUGCCAAGUCUCAGAAAGCCAAGACCAGCAGUAUGGAGCUGAUGGCCCAGGAGGCUGAUACCUCUAAUGCCUGUGGACCCAAGUGGACCUGGAAAGAACUGGAGGACUUAAUCAACAUUUGGUCGGAGCAAAGGAUCAUAGACAGGCUGGAAAUUAGGAGGAAUAAGCCCGUUUAUGUCAAGAUCACAAAGGGCAUGCAGCUGCGAGGGCACAAUCGUGUCUGGACCCAGGUUUGGUGCAAGAUCAAGUCCUUGAGAUCGGUGUUUUACAAAGCCAAAGAUGCAAACUCUUGUUCUGGGGCAGGUUGCACAAUUGGCCCUUUCUAUGACAAGCUGUCCAUCAUUCUCUCCAAGGAUGCAGGUAACAACCCAGGUAUGGAGACUUUAAGCACCGGGGAGUGGGGGUGUGACAGGAGGAGGAGGUAGAAAA